This 465-nucleotide ribosomal RNA is filed under the name Vreelandella stevensii. Its description in RNAcentral is "partial 16S ribosomal RNA". It matches the Rfam family "Bacterial small subunit ribosomal RNA", at positions 338 to 795 of the family's 1533-position model. Lineage: Bacteria; Pseudomonadati; Pseudomonadota; Gammaproteobacteria; Oceanospirillales; Halomonadaceae. The record is from RNAcentral.
CCUACGGGCGGCUGCAGUGGGGAAUAUUGGACAAUGGGGGCAACCCUGAUCCAGCCAUGCCGCGUGUGUGAAGAAGGCCCUCGGGUGGUAAAGCACUUUCAGUGAGGAAGAACGCCUGGUGGUUAAUACCCAUCAGGAAAGACAUCACUCACAGAAGAAGCACCGGCUAACUCCGUGCCAGCAGCCGCGGUAAUACGGAGGGUGCGAGCGUUAAUCGGAAUUACUGGGCGUAAAGCGCGCGUAGGUGGCUUGAUAAGCCGGUUGUGAAAGCCCCGGGCUCAACCUGGGAACGGCAUCCGGAACUGUCAAGCUAGAGUGCAGGAGAGGAAGGUAGAAUUCCCGGUGUAGCGGUGAAAUGCGUAGAGAUCGGGAGGAAUACCAGUGGCGAAGGCGGCCUUCUGGACUGACACUGACACUGAGGUGCGAAAGCGUGGGUAGCAAACAGGAUUAGAUACCCUGGUAGUC